AGAGUUUGAUCCUGGCUCAGGAUGAACGCUGGCGGCGUGCUUAACACAUGCAAGUCGAACGAGCCUUCGGGCUAGUGGCGGCGGGUGAGUAACGCGUGGGAAUCUGCCCUCAGGAGGGGGAUAACGGCCGGAAACGGCCGCUAAUACCCCAUAUGCCGAGAGGUGAAACGAAAUUCCCUGGGGAUGAGCCCGCGUCUGAUUAGCUAGUUGGUGUGGUAAUGGCGCACCAAGGCAUCGAUCAGUAGCUGGUCUGAGAGGAUGAUCAGCCACACUGGGACUGAGACACGGCCCAGACUCCUACGGGAGGCAGCAGUGGGGAAUUUUCCGCAAUGGGCACAAGCCUGACGGAGCAACGCCGCGUGAGGGACGAAGGCCUCUGGGCUGUAAACCUCUUUUCUCAAGGAAGAAGACAUGACGGUACUUGAGGAAUAAGCCACGGCUAAUUCCGUGCCAGCAGCCGCGGUAAUACGGGAGUGGCAAGCGUUAUCCGGAAUUAUUGGGCGUAAAGCGUCCGCAGGCGGCCUUGAAAGUCUGUUGUUAAAGCGUGGAGCUCAACUCCAUUUCAGCAAUGGAAACUACAAGGCUAGAGUGUGGUAGGGGCAGAGGGAAUUCCCGGUGUAGCGGUGAAAUGCGUAGAUAUCGGGAAGAACACCAGUGGCGAAGGCGCUCUGCUGGGCCAUAACUGACGCUCAUGGACGAAAGCCAGGGGAGCGAAAGGGAUUAGAUACCCCUGUAGUCCUGGCCGUAAACGAUGAAUACUAGGUGUCGGGAGAAUAACCCUUUCGGUGUCGUAGCCAACGCGUUAAGUGUUCCGCCUGGGGAGUACGCACGCAAGUGUGAAACUCAAAGGAAUUGACGGGGGCCCGCACAAGCGGUGGAGUAUGGUUUAAUUCGAUGCAACGCGAAGAACCUUACCAGGGUUUGACAUCCUGCGAAUCCCUUGGAAACUUGGGAGUGCCUUCGGGAGCGCAGUGACAGGUGGUGCAUGGCUGUCGUCAGCUCGUGUCGUGAGAUGUUGGGUUAAGUCCCGCAACGAGCGCAACCCACGUCUUUAGUUGCCAGCAUUCAGUUGGGCACUCUAGAGAGACCGCCGGUGAUAAACCGGAGGAAGGUGUGGAUGACGUCAAGUCAUCAUGCCCCUUACAUCCUGGGCUACACACGUACUACAAUGCUACGGACAAAGGGCAGCAAACUCGCGAGAGCUAGCAAAUCCCAUAAACCGUGGCUCAGUUCAGAUCGUAGGCUGCAACUCGCCUACGUGAAGGAGGAAUCGCUAAUAAUCGCAGGUCAGCAUACUGCGGUGAAUACGUUCCCGGGCCUUGUACACACCGCCCGUCACACCAUGGAAGUUGGCCAUGCCCGAAGUCGUUACUCCAACCCGCAAGGGAGGAGGACGCCGAAGGUGGGGCUGAUGACUGGGGUGAAGUCGUAACAAGGUA
RNAcentral lists this ribosomal RNA (1439 nucleotides) under metagenome. RNAcentral describes it as "bacterial SSU rRNA". It matches the Rfam family "Bacterial small subunit ribosomal RNA". The record is from RNAcentral.